GAUGAAGAACGUAGCGAAAUGCGAUAAGUAUUGUGAAUUGCAGAAUCCAGUGAAUCAUCGAGUCUUUGAACGCACAUUGCGCCCCCUGGUAUUCCGGGGGGCAUGCCUGUCCGAGCGUCAUUGCUGCCCUCAAGCACGGCUUGUGUGUUGGGCCUCCGUCCUCCUCCCGGGGGACGGGCCCGAAAGGCAGCGGCGGCACCGCGUCCGGUCCUCGAGCGUAUGGGGCUUCGUCACCCGCUCUUGUAGGCCCGGCCGGCGCUUGCCGACACAUCAAUCUUUUUUCCAGGUUGACCUCGGAUCAGGUAGGGAUACCCGCUGAACUUAAGCAUAUCAAUAAGCGGAGGA
This 345-nucleotide unclassified non-coding RNA is filed under the name soil metagenome. RNAcentral describes it as "partial contains 5.8S ribosomal RNA, internal transcribed spacer 2, and large subunit ribosomal RNA". The stretch from base 1 to 120 matches the Rfam family "5.8S ribosomal RNA", at positions 35 to 154 of the family's 154-position model. The record is from RNAcentral.